UACGGGGGGAGCAAGCGUUGUUCGGAUUUACUGGGCGUAAAGGGCGCGUAGGCGGCGUGACAAGUCACUUGUGAAAUCUCCGGGCUUAACUCGGAACGGUCAAGUGAUACUGUCGUGCUAGAGUACAGAAGGGGCAACUGGAAUUCUCGGUGUAGCGGUGAAAUGCGUAGAUAUCGGGAGGAACACCAAUGGCGAAGGCAGCUCGCUGGGACGUUACUGACGCUGAGGCGCGAAAGCCAGGGGAGCGGAACGGG
Molecule: ribosomal RNA, 254 nt
Filed under: uncultured bacterium
Lineage: Bacteria
Description: partial 16S ribosomal RNA
Rfam family: Bacterial small subunit ribosomal RNA
Source: RNAcentral